RNAcentral lists this long non-coding RNA (219 nucleotides) under Ananas comosus (pineapple). RNAcentral's name for it is "long non-coding RNA (ACOM_LNC043587)". Lineage: Eukaryota; Viridiplantae; Streptophyta; Magnoliopsida; Poales; Bromeliaceae. The record is from RNAcentral.
UUUAGCUAGUCUCAGGGCCAUUAACAAUUCCUACUUCUACACCGACCGUCCCUAAAAUAAGUGACAAAGGAUUUGAUAAUUGAUACCCGAGAUCCAAAUUCGAAUUCUAGUUGAUUCACAUUUCCAGCUAACUUUAUUUUUAAAUGAAAUAAACGAAGCGGAUAGCGUGCUACCUAUUUCUCUAAAAAAAAAAAAAAAAAAAAAAAAAUCCUACUUCUA